RNAcentral lists this ribosomal RNA (253 nucleotides) under uncultured bacterium. RNAcentral describes it as "partial 16S ribosomal RNA". It matches the Rfam family "Bacterial small subunit ribosomal RNA", at positions 524 to 776 of the family's 1533-position model. The record is from RNAcentral.
UACGUAGGGUGCGAGCGUUAAUCGGAAUUACUGGGCGUAAAGCGUGCGUAGGCGGUUAUGCAAGACAGAUGUGAAAUCCCCGGGCUCAACCUGGGAACUGCAUUUGUGACUGCAUGGCUAGAGUGCGGCAGAGGGGGAUGGAAUUCCGCGUGUAGCAGUGAAAUGCGUAGAUAUGCGGAGGAACACCGAUGGCGAAGGCAAUCCCCUGGGCCUGCACUGACGCUCAUGCACGAAAGCGUGGGGAGCAAACAGG